CCAUAGCCCUGAUUGAAGUAAAAAUCCUUUUUGUUUUUUUUAAACAAAAAGAUUGCAGCGAAAAGCAGGAACUAGC
This 76-nucleotide small RNA is filed under the name Flavobacterium degerlachei. RNAcentral describes it as "Flavo-1 RNA". It matches the Rfam family "Flavo-1 RNA". The record is from RNAcentral. Lineage: Bacteria; Pseudomonadati; Bacteroidota; Flavobacteriia; Flavobacteriales; Flavobacteriaceae.